GUACUGAAACCACUUGUACCAUUCUAUCCAUUUCAUUAGGUAAGAAAACAGGAAGUGGGUCAUUGCAGAAAUGCAAUCUUUCUUCCUCUUUUUUUCCUCACAAGAAUGUUAUUUGUCAUGUAAAACAUUACCCACAGCUUCACCCUGUUUGCACGGUUUCCCAAAGCAGUAUACAUUUCCCUUCAGUUGGUUUGUGGGCUUCUGGAUGUUUUUGCCUCUCUUCUCUGGACUUAGCGAGAGAAAAAAAAUGCAGGACGUCUUUGGGAUCCUGUUGAUGUUCACAGGAGCUGCAUCAGGUUUGCUGUUUCAGGAUCCUGUUGUCUGUAGAUUUAAUGAGAGUAGUCUGUGUUAUGUAGCUCUGGGACAACGACUGCACCUGCAAAUUCCCCUGGAGUAUAGGUUUGAACUAAAGAUCACAGACAAGACAUCUACCACUCGUUCCAUUUUAAGAUAUAUAAAAACCCAAAGUGACCCACCAAAACCAAAUGACCCAAGAUGGCAGUUUGAUAAAGAUAAAACUAUAAUACUAACCAGUGCAGAGAGGAGCGACUCUGGAACAUACACUUUAGACACCUUUGAUGCAAACGGAAAUAAUAAAGGCAGUUAUACUCUCCAGCUGUACAUUGAAGCUAAGGUGUCCUCAGUGAGCAUCCAGUACAACUGCUUGUUCCCUGAGGUCAGGAAAGUGCACUGUUCUGCUGAUGGAGACAACCUCCAGUUCAGCUGGACUUCUGAAUCAACCAUACGGUUGGAGAAUGAGAACAGCACUCUCGUACUGGAUAAAAAUAAUGAUGGAAAUGUCACCUGCCAUGUCGAAAAUCACGUCAGCCGUGACAACAAUUCCAUUGAACUCCAGUCAUGUCCCAACCCUUCUCAGGAUGGCAAGGAGCUUGUGUAUGCGGACAUCACCCAUUUACCCACGAACAAGACAGAGACAAGACCAACUACAUCACAAGCUCAGGACAAGGACAUGGAGUAUGCCACGGUGGUCACUCAUCCCAGCCAGAGGAACCAGAAGAAGAACGAGGAAGAGGUGCAGUAUGGCAAGCUGGUGUUUAACACGCCUGACCAAAAAAAGAGCGUGAUGCCCAAAGUGCAAGAAGAGUGUGUGUACUCACAGGUCCAGCAUGGUCAAUAAGGGACACACUCUUAGCCUGUCUCGGUAUGUAUUUUAUUGCAAGAUCAUUCUGGUAGAGGAAGUAGCUGUUGAUGACAUUUCACCCAUACACACUCAUCUCUUACCCAAAAUCAAACCAUUUCACUAUCUGAUUAUCUAAUUACUAAAUCUUUUAGGCUGCAUACAAGCACAGUGGUUAGUGUUUCAUAAAGUGGGUACCAAAAAGGAAUGAAUGAAUUUAUGUAAUUUUCUAUUUAAAUGUAAUGUUUUGCAGUUGCCAUUUUACGUCCAUUCCACUAGGAUGAAAUGAAACCGUGUAUUGAGUGCUGAGUUCCUAGGCUUUUUUCCCCAAAGGCAUUUGUGACUCAGUAUCAUUUCACUAAUGAAGAGAAAAUAAAUGGGAUCUUCCUUCUUGCAGCUUUAAGUGUUGAACUUAAGACACAGCUGUGGCUUCAUGGACAGCUCACACACUGCUCUUUGAGUUGCUCCAUCUUUCAAAACCAACAUUUCUGCUUCUCAGUUUAAAACAAAAUGACACCUUGUCACUGUGGUCAAGUGCUGUACAUAAGAAGUGUGUAAAUUAUUCUACGAGGUUGUUUUCUACCAUUUAAAAAAUGUUACAUGGAUAAAAUGAAUGGUUAAAAUGUCAAAUUGUUCAGUUGUAAAUGGAUUUUCAGCUUAUGAUGUCUAAAACUUUCAGUUUGUGAAAUUGUGUGUGAAAUCAUGCCUUAAGAAUUGACACCUGAUGUUUACUCUCUUGCUAAACACAUGGGCAGAAAAAGCAUCAGCCAAGUCAGAGAUAUUAUUUUUUUAAUUUUAUUUUUAAUUUUUUUUUUAAAGCUAUAAAUGUGUAUAGAUGGAUGUAUUAUAUUUCACAUUGCCUUGGUUGCAUUGUCAAUUUCAAACUUGUAUCUUUGUAUUAUAUUGCAAUAAUUAAUGGAAAACCUAUUCCUGUAACUAUGCAGAGCCUCUGUUAGUACAUUUAUUCUUGAGUAAAGCAGUGUUUUACAGUGUUGCACUGUUACCUUCUCUGGAAAAUGAAAAGAGGAUGGAACGCACUUGCCUGCAUAUGCAAACAUGUUCAUGCAGACCAUUUAUUUGCGUCAUAAUUAUCCCAGCUUGUGUGGUUGGUGGAGAGCAAUUGCAGUGCUUGGUUCUAAAAAUUAAAGAAAUAAGGGUGUUGUCAUCAGGGAGUGUUGGUGUUACUGACACCAAAUAGGGUCAUUUAAAAAAAAAAAAAAAUGAAUAUCACAAUCAUUCUUUAACAGUUGAUUGCUGAUAUUCCUAUCCUUUAAGGUUUUUUUUGCAUUGGAAGUUUAAAAAAAUUACAUAGGAUUAAGAUCAAAUGGGUGGGUAGUAUUAAUAAACUUGAUGAUUACACAAGGUAGUAAGCACUCAGCUUACAAUUUGUGAUAUAAAAGUGUAUAUAUGUGAAGGAGACUAUUUGCUGACACACUUUUCAUAACUUGGUUAAAUAAAUUGUUCCUCUUUUUUUGUUGAACCAAUCUAGAUGAGUUAAUGGCAUAGUUUAAGGUUUUAAAACUGUACUGAAUUUUUACAGAAAAAAUACCUAUGCAUAAAUUGUUUGUUCUUAAUUCCCAGAAUGCCUCUACUGACUCUAUUAUUCAUGUUUAUUUAUCAACGGCAUUUAUACAAUGAUAUUUAAGAUUUGCUGGCAACUUUUGCAUGGCAGUAAUGAGUAUGAGAGUGCUGAAAAGCUGCCUGAAGUUCUUGUGAUAGCCAUGUUCCAUGUCCAAUCAGCAAUGGGCAUAUGUUGUUCAAUAAGGACCUCCCAUUUCUGUUGAUGUGUUAAUAAUUGGCAGCUGUGGUGUCCUCAGUGAAAGUGUGGUACUGCUGCUUGUUCCCUGAAAUCAGAAAAGUGUACUGUUUUGCUGAUGGAGACAACCCACAAAUACCAGAAACCAGAUGACACUAAACAAUGGGCAAAGGAACUAAAAGCUUCAGACGCUGGUGAUGACACAUCUUCUGUCAUAUUUGUCCUUCAUGAUAGGCUGAUAGCUGUUUCAAUGAUGCUCUGAGCACUUCUGACCACCCACUUCUCCAAGGAUGUAGAUUGAUCUUCCUCAGAAUGUUGAUGGUGAUGGGCCUUCUUGAUGAGGGGCGAGGUGUGGAGGACUCAACAGAAGUCUUGUGUUAAGACUUGAAGCUGUUGACUCUACAGCAGUUCCAUUAAUGGAGAUGGGUCUGUGGGUCACACUCAGUUUCCUGAAGUCAACGAUCUGCUCCUGGGUCUUGCUGAUGUUGGUGCACAGGUUGUUUCUAGGUCACUAGCAGUUCCACCUUCUCCCUGUAGGCUGUCUC
Ictalurus punctatus (channel catfish) is the source of this 3439-nucleotide long non-coding RNA. The record is from Ensembl. NCBI's taxonomy places the organism in Eukaryota, Metazoa, Chordata, Actinopteri, Siluriformes, Ictaluridae.